RNAcentral lists this ribosomal RNA (305 nucleotides) under uncultured bacterium. RNAcentral's name for it is "bacterial SSU rRNA". It matches the Rfam family "Bacterial small subunit ribosomal RNA", at positions 337 to 640 of the family's 1533-position model. The record is from RNAcentral.
GCCUACGGGGGGCAGCAGUGAGGAAUAUUGGUCAAUGGUCGGGAGACUGAACCAGCCAAGCCGCGUGAGGGAGGAAGGUACAGAGUAUCGUAAACCUCUUUUGUCAGGGAACAAAGGCGGGGACGUGUCCCCGGAUGAGUGUACCUGAAGAAAAAGCAUCGGCUAACUCCGUACCAGCAGCCGCGGUAAUACGGAGGAUGCGAGCGUUAUCCGGAUUUAUUGGGUUUAAAGGGUGCGCAGGCGGUCUGUUAAGUCAGCGGUCAAAGCCCAGGGCUCAACCCCGGCCCGCCGUUGCAACUGGCAGU